AGGAAGUCGACGAGCUCUGGACAGAAAAAGAUCCAGGGCAGUUUUGGCUGCAUUCACCACGUCGGUCUCCUCUUCUGAUGUGAAAAGAACAGCCAUAUCUUCAAAUACAGCUGUUGCCUCUUCUAGAUGUGUGCUGUUUAACAACAAGGCAAAGCAAAGGACACUUGAAAUUAGUCCCCAACUGAAGUCCGUCUCCACUUGAUGGACAUGGCAUGAUGUUAUUUGACCAAGAGCCCUUAAUGUUUGCAUCAGCCAGUAUGUCAAGGUUGGAAUUGAGUGCUGAUUUGAUACAAGCUCACUAACUGGUAGUGGCGGCAUGUUUUUGCCCAUUCCUGGCAGUACAAGUGCAUAGUAGAGCACUCUUUUGGGCUGACUGGUAAUGCGGGAGAUAACGCUACCUGUGGCAUCCAGGUGAAGUGU
Carassius auratus (goldfish) is the source of this 420-nucleotide long non-coding RNA. RefSeq lists it as uncharacterized. NCBI's taxonomy places the organism in Eukaryota, Metazoa, Chordata, Actinopteri, Cypriniformes, Cyprinidae. The record is from RefSeq and is a predicted model, not a curated record. The transcript has 3 exons.